This 253-nucleotide ribosomal RNA is filed under the name uncultured Acidobacteriota bacterium. RNAcentral's name for it is "uncultured Acidobacteria bacterium partial 16S ribosomal RNA". It matches the Rfam family "Bacterial small subunit ribosomal RNA", at positions 524 to 776 of the family's 1533-position model. The record is from RNAcentral. Lineage: Bacteria; Pseudomonadati; Acidobacteriota.
UACAGAGGGGGCAAGCGUUGUUCGGAAUUACUGGGCGUAAAGGGCGCGUAGGCGGCCUUCUAAGUCAGACGUGAAAUCCCCGGGCUCAACCCGGGAACUGCGUCUGAGACUGAAAGGCUCGAAUCCGGGAGAGGGAUGUGGAAUUCCAGGUGUAGCGGUGAAAUUCGUAGAUAUCUGGAGGAACACCGGUGGCGAAGGCGGCAUCCUGGACCGGUAUUGACGCUGAGGCGCGAAAGCCAGGGGAGCAAACGGG